RNAcentral lists this ribosomal RNA (513 nucleotides) under uncultured bacterium. Its description in RNAcentral is "bacterial SSU rRNA". It matches the Rfam family "Bacterial small subunit ribosomal RNA", at positions 28 to 526 of the family's 1533-position model. The record is from RNAcentral.
GACGAACGCUGGCGGCGUGCCUAAUACAUGCAAGUCGAGCGGAACACUUGGAGCUUGCUCCAAGCGUUUAGCGGCGGACGGGUGAGUAACACGUGGGCAACCUGCCCUGCAGAUCGGGAUAACUCCGGGAAACCGGUGCUAAUACCGAAUAGUUUGAAGCCUCACCUGAGGCUUCACGGAAAGACGGUUUCGGCUGUCACUGCAGGAUGGGCCCGCGGCGCAUUAGCUAGUUGGUGGGGUAACGGCCCACCAAGGCCACGAUGCGUAGCCGACCUGAGAGGGUGACCGGCCACACUGGGACUGAGACACGGCCAGACUCCUACGGGAGGCAGCAGUAGGGAAUCUUCCGCAAUGGACGCAAGUCUGACGGAGCAACGCCGCGUGAGUGACGAAGGUUUUCGGAUCGUAAAACUCUGUUGUGAGGGAAGAACACGUACCAACUAACUAUUGGUACCUUGACGGUACCUCACCAGAAAGCCACGGCUAACUACGUGCCAGCCGCCGCCGUAAAAC